ACGUAGGGUGCAAGCGUUAAUCGGAAUUACUGGGCGUAAAGCGUGCGCAGGCGGUUUUGUAAGUCUGAUGUGAAAUACCCGGGCUCAACCUGGGAAUUGCAUUUGAAACUGCAAAGCUAGAAUCCAGAAGAGGGGGACGGAAUUCCCCGUGUAGAGGUGAAAUGCGUAGAUAUGGGGAGGAACACCAAUGGCGAAGGCGGUCUCCUGGUUUAAUAUUGACGCUGAUGCGCGAAAGCGUGGGGAGCAAACAG
Molecule: ribosomal RNA, 251 nt
Filed under: uncultured prokaryote
Description: partial 16S rRNA
Rfam family: Bacterial small subunit ribosomal RNA
Source: RNAcentral